AAAUUGAAGAGUUUGAUCAUGGCUCAGAUUGAACGCUGGCGGCAGGCCUAACACAUGCAAGUCGAGCGGUAGCACAGAGAGCUUGCUCUCGGGUGACGAGCGGCGGACGGGUGAGUUAAUGUCUGGGAAACUGCCUGAUGGAGGGGGAUAACUACUGGAAACGGUAGCUAAUACCGCAUAACGUCGCAAGACCAAAGUGGGGGACCUUCGGGCCUCAUGCCAUCAGAUGUGCCCAGAUGGGAUUAGCUAGUAGGUGGGGUAACGGCUCACCUAGGCGACGAUCCCUAGCUGGUCUGAGAGGAUGACCAGCCACACUGGAACUGAGACACGGUCCAGACUCCUACGGGAGGCAGCAGUGGGGAAUAUUGCACAAUGGGCGCAAGCCUGAUGCAGCCAUGCCGCGUGUGUGAAGAAGGCCUUCGGGUUGUAAAGCACUUUCAGCGGGGAGGAAGGCG
RNAcentral lists this ribosomal RNA (455 nucleotides) under Klebsiella pneumoniae. RNAcentral's name for it is "bacterial SSU rRNA". It matches the Rfam family "Bacterial small subunit ribosomal RNA", at positions 1 to 453 of the family's 1533-position model. Lineage: Bacteria; Pseudomonadati; Pseudomonadota; Gammaproteobacteria; Enterobacterales; Enterobacteriaceae. The record is from RNAcentral.